RNAcentral lists this transfer RNA (73 nucleotides) under bacterium. RNAcentral's name for it is "tRNA-Arg". It matches the Rfam family "tRNA". From Rfam's summary of the family: Transfer RNA (tRNA) molecules are approximately 80 nucleotides in length. Their secondary structure includes four short double-helical elements and three loops (D, anti-codon, and T loops). The record is from RNAcentral.
GCGCCCGUAGCUCAGUGGAUAGAGCACUUGGCUUCGGACCAAGGGGCCGGGGGUUCGAAUCCCUCCGGGCGCA